AACCUCGCCCCAUAGUCUGGGAUACCACUUGGAAACAGGUGCUAAUACCGGAUAAGAAAGCGGAUCGCAUGAUCAGCUUUUAAAAGGCGGCGUAAGCUGUCGCUAUGGGAUGGCCCCGCGGUGCAUUAGCUAGUUGGUAAGGUAAAGGCUUACCAAGGCGAUGAUGCAUAGCCGAGUUGAGAGACUGAUCGGCCACAUUGGGACUGAGACACGGCCCAAACUCCUACGGGAGGCAGCAGGC
RNAcentral lists this ribosomal RNA (241 nucleotides) under uncultured Lactobacillus sp. Its description in RNAcentral is "partial 16S ribosomal RNA". It matches the Rfam family "Bacterial small subunit ribosomal RNA", at positions 123 to 354 of the family's 1533-position model. Lineage: Bacteria; Bacillati; Bacillota; Bacilli; Lactobacillales; Lactobacillaceae. The record is from RNAcentral.